CGGGACGGGUGAGUAAUGUCUGGGAAACUGCCUGAUGGAGGGGGAUAACUGCUGGAAACGGUAGCUAAUACCGCAUAACGUCGCAAGACCAAAGAGGGGGACCUUCGGGCCUCUUGCCAUCGGAUGUGCCCAGAUGGGAUUAGCUAGUAGGUGGGGUAACGGCUCACCUAGGCGACGAUCCCUAGCUGGUCUGAGGGGAUGGCCAGCCACACUGGAACUGAGACACGGUCCAG
RNAcentral lists this ribosomal RNA (233 nucleotides) under uncultured bacterium. Its description in RNAcentral is "partial 16S ribosomal RNA". It matches the Rfam family "Bacterial small subunit ribosomal RNA", at positions 100 to 334 of the family's 1533-position model. The record is from RNAcentral.